Molecule: long non-coding RNA, 12724 nt
Organism: Gallus gallus (chicken)
Lineage: Eukaryota; Metazoa; Chordata; Aves; Galliformes; Phasianidae
Source: Ensembl
CUCCUGGCCAUAGGAUGCAGACAGCGCUCUUCUGCUCCCUCCCUGCUUUCCCUCGGGCCCCAUAAGAGCACUGCAAACAGACACCAGGGGAGCAUUUGGACUCUUUUCUUUUAUUGAGAUUGGCUGCUCCUUAGAAGCUGCAGUGCAUUACACCGACACACCCACAAGCACGGGGCACUGCGUACCCCUCCCCACGCUCCUGUUCUUGUGACACAGUGGGAGGAAGAGCAUGGAGGGCUCCAUGAUGGUCACACAGGAACAAGGACAGCGGAUGGUCUGUGCGCAGACUUCUUUCCAGCAUGACUUGUUGCUGGAAUAAUAGGCACACGAGCUGUGGCACAGCCUCACUCCUACACGGAAGCAGUCAAUUUGGUGAUCCCGGCGGAGCAAGCCAGGCAUUGUGAGAGGUACUGCUGCUCUGCAUUUAAAAAGCAGCAGGAAGAUGCUUCCUGAUAACGGGGAUAAUGGAACGCUCUCUCCUCCUUGAGUGGCAAUGGCUGAAGAUGAACUUCUCCAACCCAAUGAGAGCCUCCAACGGGGACUUCUCCCAACAAUUAAUGCUGAGCGGCGUCGGGGCCGCGUCCCAGUCCAUCUGCAUUCCUGCACACCUCUGCUUCGCGCUGUCAGCUGCUCGUGGUCUCUCUGGUGGAUGGAUGUGAUUACAUUGCUGUAACUAAUUUGGCAGUAUGUGCUCAAAAUCUCAGCUGACGGAGCUCGUGGCCCCGCGGCCGCGUUGCAGCAGAUGGCACCGAUUCGCGGCCGCCGCGGUGACACGGGGACCCCUCUCUGCUCUCAGCCCUGGGCAGUUCCAGCAGUUUUCCUUCUGGAUGGCGGCACGGGGCCAGGCGUCAGAUGGACAGAAGGUGCGAGGUUCAGAUCCGCACUGCCAUCAGCCCUCGCCCCACUUCACACCGCUGCAGAUUCCCAUCAGCGGAUGCGGCAGGAGGAGGCGUUUGCUGGGAAACCCCCAUGGGACGUGUGGAGGGGUGGAGGAAUCCCUGUGACUCCAUCCAGGCUCUCUUCACUGGGUCUAUUCCCCAGUGAUGUGGCAGAGUUGGGCGCCCAUGGGUGCCCUUCGGUCCUUGAAUAUGGGAUAACCAACAGAGAAGUCCCUUUUGGAGUCACCAUUCCAACACCCCAAUUUGCUGUGGGUCUCAAAGCAGGAGUCACCUCGUGGGCACUGUGGGGUUGAAGUGUUGCCCAGUCCAGCAGGCACGAAGCAUUUUUAAUUGAAAAUGAGUUGUGAGGGACUCUGCAGGCUGCACCACGCAUGGUGCAGGCUGAACUGCGCCCUUGGAUGCUGCCCUAUUGCUUGGGGCAGCCUUUGUGGGCAGAAAGGCAGGGUAAAUCCUGCCCCAUGGGUGACACAAGGGUGAGCUGCAUGGGGGAGAUGGGGGCAGAGAGCCCAGCGCUUCCCUCCUGCAGCAGGUUUUCCUGCAUGAAUGUCCCUUAGCAACCGAAGUGGUUCCUGAAGUGUUCGUGUUCCUGGUUCUCCUCCACGAGAGGUUUAUUCUGAGGAGAGCAGCUCUCUGAGCUCGGUGAGCACAGUGGGAUCCGUUAUCCCCACUUGGGCAGCAUCUGCAUCAUGGUCAUGUGCUGCUGUGAGCUCUAUGAAAUGCCCUGGGGCAUGUAAGCAAGAUUCAUAGAACCAUGGAACAUCCCGAGUUGGAUGGAAUCAAGUCCAUCCCCUGUCCCCACCCAGCACCCAAAAUACAAACCCAAGGUCUUAGAGCGGUGUCCCGGCACUCCAGCAGCUCUGGGCUAUGCCUGCUGCCCUGGGGAGCCGUUCCGUGCCCACCAUCCUCUGUUGCAGAACCUUUUCUUAAUACCCACCUGACCCUCCCCUGACGCAUCUCUGUGCCAUGAGUUGGCUGUAGGCCAUGAGUUGGCCAUGGGGCCACCAUGAGUUGGCCAUAGACCGCCAUGGUGGAGCUGUAGGCCACCAUGAGCCUUUUUGCCUACACAGUGUGAACCCUUUGUGUUCCAGAUGAUCUUCGAACUCUCCCUUCCUGGGCACUUCAUUAAAUAAAAUCAAAAUUAAUUAAAAAAAAAAAAAAAAAGAGCCUGUUUAGCAAUUUGAGAUGAUUGAAACUCCGUGGUUGGAAAAAAAAAAGAGAAUACCCAAUUCCCCAGCCCCAAAAAAAAGUAGUUUAGACAAUAUAAAUGGGUUUAGACUUAUCAUCUCAACCUCUGAGGACAUGUUCAGCGCGGCGCAGAAAUGAACAAUCACCACAAUUCCUCACACAGAAAUCCCAGUGCUGCUGUCGCGUUGUCACCUCUGUGAUGCUGCACGACAUCGACAUCUCGCCGCGGUGCAACCGGUGCUGAUGAUGUGGAUUCUGCUGUAGCCAAAGGGAAAAUAUGUGCUGAAAUCUCCGGGGUUGGCUGCCGGCCCUUCGUGGCUUCAAAGCAGCGCUGAGGUCGGGAGGGGGGGGUGAAGAUCUCCAGAAUCCCAGGAGAGAUUUUCAGCUGCUUCAGGGAGGAAAAGGCUUUGGAUUAAGCUCAUCGGUGGGGAAACACAAUGCCUUCGGGCACCGCGUUGCUCAUUUGUUCCUUUGAGCCGUGCAUUUACCCACUGCUGUUUGGGUGAGUGUAGCUGUGCCCGAAGAAAGCUCUCUUUGGAAAGCCUUUGGAAAACAAAUCUGUCCUUUAUCAGUAGGCAUUCUUAGGCUGAUUCCAAAAUUAACCAAUUCGCCACCUGAUACCUGGCAUUUUGUUGGGCUUACGGCACGCAGCUGCUCAGAGAAAUCAAGAUUCUAUGACUCCAUGAAAUCCCUUUGGCCUCCUUUUUCACCAUUCCUUCUCAUGGGACUCUCCAGCCAACAGAACACACAAAGGUGCUUUGAUGUUUGGCUGGAGCCAUCCCAGAGCGCUCAGCUUCAGCCAUUUCCACCCAGGGGCUGCGUGAGAUGAAAUGUGUGCCUACAAACACUGAUCUUUUUCCUGCUUGUUUCAGUUUUAGGGGUUGAGGAAAUAAAGCAAAGCGCCCUCAGUCUCCUCACCAGGCUGAGAGGCUGUUUGUUUUAUAUACAGUGUUUUUUUCCCUGAAUCAAACUGUACACUCAUCAGAAAACGGACCUUGCUGUUUGAUGUAUGCUGGAAAGUGCCACGCGCGUUUAUUGUGCUGUAUAAAUAAAAUAUAAUAAUGCUGAGACUCAAGGACUCCCAUGGAGUCAUUCAGAAACGAGGCAGAGGGCCAGGGAAUGGAUUUGGACAAGAUUCAGGGGAGGGAAAGAUGGUUGGUUUUGUUUAUUUUAAGCAGGAAAAGAUGAGAAAGAGAGCGCUACCUGCCCCCAAAAACAGGUCCUGAGCUGCCAGUGCUCAGCACAACACCUUGAGGCUGAUGAAUGGGAAUUUCCAUCAGUCUUCAUUGAUCAUCUGGACAACGGGCAAAAAAAACAUAAUAUGGUGAGUUCAUUUAGACAUAAGAAUAGAAUAAUAACAUGUGGUUGAGUGAAUACAGUGAGGCUGUGGGGUCUGUGAUCUUUGUGACGUGCACAAAGCCUGACCCACAUGGUCCUGGGCUCCCUGCUUGGAGCAGAAUGGGUGACCUCCAGCCUCAGCCAUUCUGGGUUUCUGUGUUCCUGCAGGGAGCUGGAUAGGAAGAAAAAAAACAACACGACCAUAGGUCAGAGCUAUCAAGAGAGGGGAGGGAGAGAGUGAGCAGAUGGCAGCUUUGACCCAUAUAUAGGGAUUGAACGGGGACGGGAGGUGAGGAUUGGUGGGAGCUGUGGGUCAGUGGCACCACGGGUUUGGAGCACAGCUCCCUGUGACCCCACUGCAGAGGAGAGAACUGCCAGAGUCACACCAGUAUGAAGCAGGCCUUCAAUAGGACACAGUGGGUUUGGGGGUUCUGUGGGCAACACCAUUGCUCCAUGCUGGGUAUUUGCAUUUUCAGCACCAUGCUGCUUUUUUGUGGUUGGGUCCUCUUGCUUCUUAUGAGCCCCCUUCUCCUGCUCAGGCACAGCAGCAGUGAGAUCUAUGCUGAUGGGUCACGUUAAUGCGAAACUUCCCUGUUUGCACCUUUUCCUGGAGCAACUCCAAGGCUGAUGCAAACACAAAGGGAUUCAUCACUCUCCAGCUGUCUGCAGACAGCAAACCAAGAGCAAUGUUUGACAGUGAGGAAUAAUUACCUUGCCAGCUUUGCUUUAUCCACAUUUCAAAUCCAGAAGGGAGAUAAAGGCGCGGUACCCACAGCUCAGGAGGAGCACUGAGCACAGCUGGGAGCUUCUUAUCCCAGGAGAGAUACAGCACUGAAGUGCCACCUCGCCCACCAUGUCUUCUGCCUUCGGUCUUUCUUCUCCAAUCCAUCCCAUCAGUGGAGUCCUUUGACUACAAAUGACCCUAUAGAUGAUGCGUGGAUACCGAACCAAAGCCCGUCCUCAAGAACCCCAUCCAGCCUGAGCAACGGCAUCCUGGUGUGAAUCAGUGCCAAUAGAUUUUGCAUUUCCUUCCCAUCUCUUUAAUUCAAUUAGCUCGAAUAAGAAGGGCUGCUUGACCCUGAUAGGGUUAAAUGAGCCCGUCUCCAUGGCAACCAGCUUCCGAGGUGUGACAUCUCUCUGUGUUUCCUCCAAACCCUUCGAUAUUCCUCAGUUUGGUCCCUCUUUGCACAUAGCUUAAGGCACAACAUAGGGAUGUGACUGGGCUGUCCCACUGCUGUGGGGUGACUGCAGGCUCUGCUGCCAUUACGAUGUGUUUUCCAUUCAGAUCAUCUCUGGGUUGGCUCAGGACUUACAGAAAGCAUCACCUUUUGGUAAUCCUCGCAGAAAUAAACCCAAAUCUCACUUACAACACUGAGCAGAAAUAGUCCCCCUGUCUCCAGUCUGAUUUAUCUCUGGCUGCGCUCACCUUGGAGUGGAAAUCCGAAGCACUCACCCAGCCCAAACCAAGGGCAGAUGCCAUAAAAUGCACAAAUGGCACCAGAAUGACGGGCACACAAAGUGCCUGGAGAUGCUGACACAGGAUGGGACAGAAGGCCUUAGACUUAACUAGACCAUGGCUCUGCAAGGAGCCCCCUUAUGCCUCCUUUGCUUCAUAUCCAUCAGUAAAUUCUUGCAAAAACAAAGGGGUUGGGUUUUCUACCUCUACAGUGUAAGGUUUAGAGCAAAUUUUCCUUCUGGUGGCCAUUCAGUCCAAAUCCCAGUGGGUAAAAUUUCCAAGAGCUGAGAGCGGAGCUUCUUUCCCAUUUCCAUUUUGUCUCUUACAAAAUGAAAAAAAAAAAAAAAAAAAAAAAAGCUAAAAAACAUCAUAAUAGAAGAAGGGUUGCAGGCACCGCCUCCUCUGUAGGAUUCAGCAUAAAUAUGAAAGGAGGUAAUGAAAGGGAAAGGCUGGGAAGUUACUUGUCUGUGCACUCCAUUUAUGUACCUGGUGGAGAAUAUGAAUGGAGGAAUAUUUAAUACAACAGGCAGAGACGUACUGAGACUCAAGGAUGAGGGAUUUUAAGCCAUUUCAGGCUCAAAAUACGCUUCAAACAUUUAACGAGGAGGGGAAUCUAUCAGGAGAACACAUCCUAAAGGAAGCGAUAGGUUCUGCUAUCUUUUUACAUCUUCAAAUUGCAUUUGGGAACGGAGCUCGUUUAAGAUUCGUUGAAGCUAUUUUAGACGCGUGCUUUGGGAUGACGUGACCUGCACCCAUUGCUGCAGAGGAGCUGUGGGUGCCCGGGUGAAGCGCAGGUGGCUGUGUUUAAGCAUCUACAAACAGUGAAUGGAGUCCCUCCCUGGGGUCCCUCUCUAAAAUAGCUGCUUCAGAUGAGCUGUGAUAAACGCCUGAUUUAGGAGCGACUUGGGAAGCUCCUCUACAUCGGGAUUACGGAGGCGACCCCACAACGGGGUUGAAAAUUGUCUGGCUCUAAAGUGACAAAUUUAUGGGCAAAAUGAAGUGUGCACACCCAGCCUCAGCUCCAGCCUCGUCAGAUGCACAGACAUAAAUAUCAGGACGCUUUCUCCGGUUCGCACUCUGUUCCCCAGCUGAGCCUAUCUGUGAUGAAAUGUCUCAAUAGGCUUAAGCAGAUCUAUCUUGCCUUUCCUAUCACAGAGCAUGCCAGACAGCGCUGCUGAAAACCAGUGACAUGAGUGUUUGAUGAGCUCCGCUUUCACAGUAUAUUGGGAAGAAAUGGGUAACAAAGCUGAAAAAACGUUAACCUCGUGUAAAAGAGACGUGCAUGUUUGGUGUUACCCUACUUGGAGCAGUGAUUCGGUGCAAGCGACCUCUUUUCCACGAGCAACCCCAAACCAGGACCUAUUUCUGGGCACUGCAUCCCUGCUUGAGCAAUCCUGGCGGAGCACUGAUCCCCAGCUCAGCCUCAGCAAUGGUUUCUCCUAGCCAUGGAGCCACCACUACCAACUUGCCCGGCAUCCUUAGAACCAUCGAAUCAUAGAAUCAAUAAGGCUAGAAAAGACCACUAAGAACAUCAAGACCAACCAUCAGCCCAUUGCCACAAAGUCUUGAUGUUGGGUUGAUCCCUGCACAGGGGCAGGAAGGCUCCCCACUGAACCCAACCCCAUCUGAGCCACCACGGACAGCUCCACAGCGGUGCACCCCAAUGGCAGCGGCUGCCGUAGCGUUGCCUUCCUUUGACAUUUCCAUGCAUUCUCUUUUUCUUGUUGAAACUGCAGUCUUGCACACUGAAACCUUUGUAUGAUUUGAUGAAUUUCCAGAAGGCACUUACUUCCCUGGGCAUCACGUGACUGCAGAAGUGGGGCACCAGCAACGCUGCUGCGAGCCCAGUGAAUUGUCGGGUCUCAGUGUAAUUAUAAGUGAGGAAUUAUCGGGAGAUGAACGUGUUUCUACUGGUGCAUCUCAGGGAUAUCUCUGGUUCUGAGAUCUCACGCUCCAUCCCCCCCUCUCCCACACGUGGUUGCAGCCAAAAAAUAAGUAAAAUAAAAGCUUUGUGCCUUUCUUCUGUGUCCCAGAUUGUCCUUUUGCUCCAAAUUCCAGCCAUUGGGGGUCUCUGUGGUGGCCAUCUCCUAAAGCUGAAGGAGGAGAAGUGCUGUAGGAAGGGUAAGGGACCCCCUUUCCUCAGCUUUCCCUGAACAGGGAAAAGUUGGCACAUGCACACAGUGCUGGGAAUCUGGGGGAAGGUCUCAGAGGGAGGAGGAGCACUUUGAAGUCCAUCAGUUCUCAUCUUAUCCAUUUGGGAUUUGAUCCUCUGUAGAUGAGGAUCUCCUCUGUACUCUGGACAAAACAUCCACAGAUGCCCCUUUUCACUUGACUCACACUGGGAGAUUUCUGUUUGUUUUGUUUCAUUCUAUACCUCUUCCCUGUUCCUUUUCCAGGCAUGGAUCAGCUGGGGGAAGGCUUCCCCCCAUUGCCCACAGCCCAGGAAGAUGCCCCAGAAAAUCCUCCUCUUGGUUUUCAUAUUUCUUAUGCAUUCCCUCUAUUAUUUCAAUUAAUUAUUAUAAAAUAGGAUAAUGAGAAGCCCCUGGUCAUUGUCUCGGUAUAUUUUGCUGGUUUAUUGCAUCUGAGCUCUUCUUUGCAUCCCUGAGGGAGACCCCAUAUCUCUUCCUGUUGCCCUUAUGGAACAGCUGUGGUUUCUGUCGCCGCUCUGAACAGAAGAGCAGAGAUUAUGGCACUGUGCUUCCCCCAACAGCGUAACCUCAUUGCACGCAUCCAGGAGACCUCGUAACAAUGGUGUUGCCUUUGGCUGGGUCUUGCUCCUUUCGUUUGCUUAUGAGGACGUCAUGUGUGGCAGUGACAGAGACCUCACUGCAGCGGUGAUUUAUCACGACAGCCUCUCCCUCUCUAUCUAUUUCUUGUCAGGGGAGAAAUGAGACCGUGAGUUUUGGCCUUUGUGUCCAGAGGGCACUGGCUGCUUUCCGGGGGAGUUACGCACAAGUCAGGAGCUGCUCUAAAAGACAUUUCUCUCCAAGCACUGGGUUCUCUCUCAGGUGUUUUUUAUCGGUGUGCCUAUAGCCCAGAGCUGGCCACACAUUCAGCUUAGUCUCAUCCCAGUGCAUGAGGGCAUUUUCUGCUGUCCCGGAGGCAGCAAGACCCUCUCCUUGCCUUGGUGCUCCUCUUACAGAUGGCAUUCAGUGCACAAAUAGGAGAUGUGAUGCUCCUGGCAGAGGGUACCCACUCCCAUAGGUGCUCAGAGCCAAGAGGAGCUGUGGGUGGGUGCUCAAAACGAGGUCCUUUGAAUACGCAAAGUGCAACGCAUCAUUAAUCGUGUUCCUUCAUAUUGUUAUUAUCCCCAAAAGCUUCAACCUGAGGCUGUAACAGCUCCUAAUUACAUUGAAGCUCUGCCUGAUGAUUGAGCCCGGCUCAUCACUGCACAGACAACUUGCAGGUGCUGCACACACAGCUCAGGGCAAUGGAGCGUGCAGCAGGAGCGAGCUGCUCUGUCACAAUUGUCCAUGGAAGAGACAUCUCCAUCUGUGCAAGCACACCCUGUGGCAGCUGAGAGAAGUGGGGAACACUGAGCCCCACUAUCUGAAGUGCAGGAGGAGGGGCCCACUUGGACCAGAGGAGCACAUCUGCUCUGCUGAUGGCUGCUCACUAUGUGCCCUACCAGCUGGUUAGGAAUCAGUCAUAGAAUCACUGAGGUUGGAAGAGACCACUGAGACCAUCGAGUCCAACCACCAACCCCUCCCCACUGUGAAGAUGGUGAUGAUCUGGCAGCCUUUGGGCCCUGCACAGAGGGAAUGAUCCAGUGGUUCCAGGCGUUGGGUCUCAGCAGCAGACCCGUGAUCUUAUGGCAGAAGCACCCAGAAAUGCUUCUCAAACCUCUCCCAGGGGCUCUGGUCUCUGUGUCUUGUGUGUGGCCAUCAGUGCCUGGUGCAGCCCAGGACGUGCCAGGGGCACCACGGUUGGACUGCCAUUGAGCAGAGAACUGGAGGAGACAUUGGAAGUGCACCAUUCCCUUGGCUGUAGGGAUGGAUCCACUUUGGUGACCAGCUGUAACUCCUCAUAUAGAGUCAGAGGAGAGGUGAGUGGCGCCGGGUGCAAUGCUGUUAAGAAAUGCCUUCACAAUGCCUCCCCAUUUCCAGAGCCUGAGCUGCUUCCCUGCAAUCUGCCGCGUCUGGGAGCGCCUGGGGAGAGGCAGAUGUUCUGUCAGUUGAUGAAACAAUUCCAGGUCAAAGUCACAAGGACUUCCCACCCCCUUGGAGAGCCAGAAAGCUGAAAGAGCUCACAUUGUGCUCUACCUCCAUGUAAUGACAGCUGAGGAGCAGGCGGGACGCUCCCACCUCGGCCACAUCAGAUCUGCACUGCAGUGAUGGGGUGACCUUCCAGCACCUCCACAUGCUGAGAAUGCCCAGCCUGGGUCAGGAAAUGCUCCCAGCAGAACAGGCUGAGGUCCCCUUCUAUGAGAAGGUGUGGGAUCCCAUAGUGACAUGGUGCAGGAUCCCAUGGUGACGUGGCGUGGGACCCCAUGGUGAACUGGUUUGGGACCCCAUGGUGACAUACUGUGGGACCAUAUGGAGAAAUGGUGUGGGAUCUAUGGAGACAUACUUUGGGACCACAUGGAUACAUGGUGUGAGAUCCAUGUUGACAUGGUGUGGGAUCCAUAUUGACACGGUGUGGGUCCCCAUGGAGACACACUGUAGGAUCCCAUGGAGACACGCUAUGGAACCACUUCAUUUCGACACAGCUUUGACACAACUUCUCACCACAGUUUCCAAGAGCAACUGCAGCUAUGCCCCCCUGCACCCUUUUCUUUCAGGUUUGGGGUGUUUUUUUUUCAGCUUGAGCUCAUUCUUCCACUGGGUGCUCCUGGAGAGAGCUGUUUGAUUAGUGCAGCUGCCCGAGGGCUGCAGGCUUUGCUGUUUCCCCACCGUCGCCGUGGGAGCAGCCGUUGUUUUCUUUUCUCUUUUCCCCCAUCAGCUGCAUUCCACCAAAACCAGAGGGCAGAGGCAUCCAGGAGGCAGAGCUGCUCCUGGCAGGGAAGGCGGAUAUGCAGCAGUUCUAUUUGCUUCCACAAAUAAUUUUGCUAAUAUAUCAGAGUUUUGCUUUUUCCCUUUCCACCUUUCUCUUCCUUUCUUCUGUUCUUUUCCCCUCUUGGUGCCGAGUACAAUUAAUAGGGUGAUGUCUGAAGUUGCUUAUUCCGGAAUAUUUUUCUAUUUCUUUUUCCUCUCCUUAUAUCCUUCUCCAUUUCAGAGGAGCUCCAGUUGUUCCAAAAUCACUGAGAUCACAAUUCAGAGCUCACGGAGUUUGAAAAGCAAAUUUUUCACUUCGUUUGCUCUUUUCCUUCCCCAAAUGACUUCCCAUGAAUUUGCCAUUGCAUUAGAAGGACUUCUGCAUCUCUCUGUAAGCAGACAUCCACACUGCCCACAUUUGAAUUUGAAUUCAUUCUCAGACUCCAUAUGCCCGGGGGGUGAUGGGUGGUCGUCUGAUGGGUGAUUCUGUGCCAUCCCACCAGGUGGUUUUCCAUCCACUGAUCUGAAUCCGACCCACAUAUAUGGAAUAUGCGCACGCUAGAAGGGUGCCAAGUCUCCAGGCUUGACCUCAUGGGGAUAUAGAGCAUCUGCUCCCACUGAAGGGUGUGCAGGUGGUGAGAGCAGAGCAUAAGGACAAAGACGGAGCUCUUACCAUUCACAAAACUCCCUGACCUACAGCAGCCAAAUCCUCCUGCCCUGUCCCCAUCCACCCUACCAUGGGCAGCACGUCCUGGGCAGAUGGAAUCACGGAAUCAUGGAAUCAAGGAAGGGUUGGGUUGGAAGGAACCUUAAACAUCAUAGAAUCACGAAGUCACAGCAAGGUUGGGUCAAAAUGGACCCCCAUUACCCCCCUGCCAUGGGCUGGCUGCCCCACACCAGCUCAGGCUGCCCAAGGCCCCAUCCAGUGGCCUUGGGCACCCCCAGGGAUGGAGCACCCACACUUCUCAGGGCAGCAGUGCCGGGGAUUCAGUGCUUCUGGGGCAGGAAUUCCUCACAUGUGACCCAAAUCUCCCCUCUUUUAGUUAUCACCAUCCUCCCCCAUCCCACAGCUAUCUGCCUGUGUCCAAAGCUGCUCUCUGCUCGUUGGAUGGACAUCUCUUCUAUGCAGCCAGGGCAAUUAAAACCCCCACACCCAGAGUGCCAGAGCCACCCACGGAGCAGCAGCUGAGAGGCACAAGUGAGACCGCAGGACCUGGUGAGGACCCAAGAAAGGCAGAAAGAUGAAGAAUUUGGACCCGUCCGCUCACAUGAAGUCAUCUUAUCGCCUGAUUGCGAAACCAGAGAGCCGGGAGAGCAUCUGAAUGGCUGCUGCCUCUGCCGCAGUGAUAAAUUAGAUCACUUUGAGAGCACUUUAGAGCUGGACGGAAAAUUCAGUGGCUCUCCUGCCAAUUUCAUCCUGUAAGUGGAAUUAACGCUUGCUUUCGCUGCACUCUCCAGCCACAAGCAAGUGCCCCUGUGCACCACCCCGAGGGACUUUGCUCCCAGGAGUUUCAUCCAUCUGAACCAGCAGAAAAUGGGGAGAAGGAGAGACCUCGCUGUGCUCGCGGCCCCAAAGGAGUUGGAGCUCCUCCUGUUGGGUCUUCAUGUCUCAGAUCCUACAGAGAUGGGUCUGCAGAGCAAGGCUUGAGCCAACAGUGAGGAAUUGCCCUGAAUGUGGUGUUUUCCUCUUGGGUGAAGAGCAUCUGCCUGGGGAGCAGAAAGCUGAGGGGGAGAUUCAGCACUGGGAGCAGUGGAAGAGAGAGAAGGGAGCGCUGCCCACCAUGGCAGGAUCUCCAUCCACAGAUGUGCCAGAUGCAGGAGGAGAAGCCCCCAAAUGAACUAGAAAACACAAGGGAAAUCAGUUUAGGAAGUAACCUGACACACCAAGUCUGCUGUCUGUGCUGCCAACACAUCAACGUGGGCUCCCGAUGGCAGGUCAGACAUCAGCUGAGCACAAUGUUUGCAGAGGUUAAUAGCAUUGAUGGAGUCGUGCAACACCCCUGGAAGCAUUCGGGUGAGCAAAGGCUGUUGAAAAUAGAGAGAGGCUCUCAGUCUGUUCAGAUGAAACCUUCUUUUCCCUCACGAAGCUGGAGUGGCCCAAGGGGAGGUCCUGGGUCUGGAAGAACUGGGAGCGUGGAGAAGAGCAGAGUCCCUUUUGGGGCAGUUUUCCCAUCCGAUGCUUGGUGAAGCUUUCAGGAACAGGGAAUCCUUCCUGUCCCCAGCACUGCAGGCUCAGACACUGCUCUGUGAGCAGGAUCUGGGUUAUAAGGACAUGGUGGCACCGUGGCUCCAGUGCAAAGAGCCACCCAUGGAGAGACUGAGUGCCAUUGACGUGUGGGAUGAGGUAGGACAGAUCUGGUGGCUCCAGCCCACUGACGUGACACGGCUUGGGGCACCCCGCUGGUUUGGGGGUGAUCCUGGCAUCUCAAGGUCAAUGGCAUUUAAUCCUAAAACCAUAGAGUGUCCCAAGUUGGAAGGGACCCAUAAGGAUCAUCUCCUGGGACCGUUGGCUGCGACCUUCCCCAACCACUGCAGGGACAGUCCCCCAUCUCCACUGCCACGCAGCCCCCCGUGUUGACCCCAAAACCACCCCCUACCCAACACUCAUGCAACGUGAAAGCUGCUCCAGGACUUUGCUAAAACCCUCUGCCUGAUUUAUACCCUCCGUACAUUCGUCAGCUCAUUUGGCUUUGAAACAUUUCUCCCAUCUGAGAGCUGUGUAUGAGGCACCUGCUUAACUUCAGGCAGUGUAAGAAGCACCAAUCCAUUUGAUAAUUAAAUGUUUGCUGCCACCUAAUUGUCCCUUAUUACACGUAUUCUUUGAGCCGAAAGCCUGUCUGCUGGCACUGUCCCCGGAGCGCUGAGCUUCAAAG